RNAcentral lists this long non-coding RNA (537 nucleotides) under Oryza sativa Indica Group (long-grained rice). Its description in RNAcentral is "lncRNA OsMH63_04G005500". Lineage: Eukaryota; Viridiplantae; Streptophyta; Magnoliopsida; Poales; Poaceae. The record is from RNAcentral.
UUUAGCGCCGGAUCCAAUUUUCGCGUGGGACCCACCUGUCAUCCGCCACGAAGAAACCACGCCCGCGAUCCGCCUCCUCUCGUCCCACACCGCGCCGCCCCGCCGCCCCAUCACCGCGCCCCCUCUUCUUUGUCGCGGUGCAUCGCCGCCGACCGCCGCUCCUGCUCGCCCUCAUCGCCGCUGUUCGUCGCCCAUCGCCUCCCUGUCUCCAUCACGUCGGCUCGCCCUCCACCGAUCCCCGCCGCCAGAAGCCCUCCCAUCGCUAGGUCCGAGCCGAUCUGCUCCUUGCCGCCUCCACUGCCAGCGCACACAUCCACGCCGCCGCCGUCAUCCACGCCGGAGCUCCGCCGAUCGGAUACUGGAAGAAAACCUGCGUCGACACCUCUCGACCCCGAUCCCUCGACAAAUCACACCGCCGCAUCGUCGAUCCGUCGCGUCUCCCGGUCUUCAUCACGUCGGAGCCCUCCUCCUCAGCCGCCGGGUCCGGCAGCAACUCCGCCGCCACUAGAACCACCGUUGUCGGACAAUGAUGGAUAG